Molecule: ribosomal RNA, 507 nt
Filed under: uncultured bacterium
Lineage: Bacteria
Description: partial 16S ribosomal RNA
Source: RNAcentral
GGAGUUAGCCGGUGCUUCUUCUGUGAGUGAUGUCCUUCCUGCCGGCUAUUAACCCGCAGGCCUUCUUCCUCACUGAAAGUGCUUUACAACCCGAAGGCCUUCUUCACACACGCGGCAUGGCUGGAUCAGGGUUGCCCCCAUUGUCCAAUAUUCCCCACUGCUGCCUCCCGUAGGAGUCUGGGCCGUGUCUCAGUCCCAGUGUGGCUGAUCAUCCUCUCAGACCAGCUACGGAUCGUCGCCUUGGUGAGCCGUUACCUCACCAACCAGCUAAUCCGACAUAGGCUCAUCCGAUAGCGCGAGGCCCGAAGGUCCCCCGCUUUCCCCCGUAGGGCGUAUGCGGUAUUAGCCUGGGUUUCCCCAGGUUAUCCCCCACUACCGGGCAGAUUCCUAUGCAUUACUCACCCGUCCGCCGCUCGACACCAGGGAGCAAGCUCCCCGUGCUGCCGCUCGACUUGCAUGUGUUAGGCCUGCCGCCAGCGUUCAAUCUGAGCCAUAAUCAAACUCUGA